CUGGUGAAUCUGGUCCGGUUGGGCCAAAAGGUCCUCCUGGGCGGCCUGGUUUUCAGGGGCCUUCAGGUGUAGUUGGUGCUCGAGGAUUAGAAGGUGUGCGAGGGGCUCCCGGACUCCCUGGAUCACCAGGUAAAGAUGGCAAAGAGGCAAGCGAGCAUCGAAUCAGGGAGAGCAAAUAUCUCAGCUGUCUGCCAGCCUUAGACGACCAGUAGCCUCU
This is a long non-coding RNA of Carcharodon carcharias (great white shark), 217 nucleotides long. RefSeq lists it as uncharacterized. The transcript is spliced from 3 exons. The record is from RefSeq and is a predicted model, not a curated record. NCBI's taxonomy places the organism in Eukaryota, Metazoa, Chordata, Chondrichthyes, Lamniformes, Lamnidae.